RNAcentral lists this ribosomal RNA (429 nucleotides) under Acidobacteriota bacterium. RNAcentral's name for it is "Acidobacteria bacterium partial 16S ribosomal RNA". It matches the Rfam family "Bacterial small subunit ribosomal RNA", at positions 355 to 776 of the family's 1533-position model. Lineage: Bacteria; Pseudomonadati; Acidobacteriota. The record is from RNAcentral.
UGGGGAAUUUUGGACAAUGGGGGAAACCCUGAUCCAGCCAUCCCGCGUGUGCGAUGAAGGCCUUCGGGUUGUAAAGCACUUUUGGCAGGAAAGAAACGUCAUGGGUUAAUACCCCGUGAAACUGACGGUACCUGCAGAAUAAGCACCGGCUAACUACGUGCCAGCAGCCGCGGUAAUACGUAGGGUGCAAGCGUUAAUCGGAAUUACUGGGCGUAAAGCGUGCGCAGGCGGUUCGGAAAGAAAGAUGUGAAAUCCCAGAGCUCAACUUUGGAACUGCAUUUUUAAGUACCGGGCUGGAGUGUGUCAGAGGGAGGUGGAAUUCCGCGGGUAGCAGUGAAAUGCGUAGAUAUGCGGAGGAAAACCGAUGGCGAAGGCAGCCUCCUGGGAUAUCAAUGCAGCUCAUGCACGAAAGCGUGGGGAGCAACCAGG